Mus musculus (house mouse) is the source of this 1642-nucleotide RNA transcript. It is a transcript of the gene named olfactory receptor family 7 subfamily D member 12, pseudogene 1, with no coding region annotated. The transcript has a single exon. The record is from RefSeq and is marked provisional. NCBI's taxonomy places the organism in Eukaryota, Metazoa, Chordata, Mammalia, Rodentia, Muridae.
AUGUUUGCUUAUUUCCAGGUAAAGACUGCAAAUUUUAUCGAGCAAGAAAACAUCACAGCUACUUCAAUAUUCAUCCUUCUGGGACUUUCAAAAGAAACUGAUAUCCAGCCUCUUGUAUUUGGGCUGUUCCUUUUCAUUUACCUGGUCUGCAUCACAGGAAAUAUGCUUAUCAUCCUGAUCAUUACCUCUGAUGCCCACCUCCAGACUCCAAUGUAUUUCUUUCUUUCUAACCUAUCUUUUACAGACAUUUGCUUCAUAUCCACCACAGUCCCCAAGAUGUUAGUGAACAUCCAGACACAGAAUAAAUCCAUAACAUAUGAAGGCUGCCUUGCUCAGAUGUAUUUUUUCAUGUUUUUUUCUGGAUUGGAUAGUUUGUUACUGACUGUAAUGGCGUAUGACCGGUUUGUGGCCAUAUGUCACCCCUUGCACUACAUGAUUGUCAUGAGCCCUCACUUGUGUGUUAGUCUACUUCUACUGUCUUGCCUAAUCUGCCUGGCCUAUUCAUUGUUGCAAACUUUAUUUUUUUUUUCCAUUUUUUAUUAGGUAUUUAACUCAUUUACAUUUCCAAUGCUAUACCAAAAGUCCCCCAUAUCCACCCACCCCCACUCCCCUGCCCACCCACUCCCCCUUUUUGGCCCUGGUAUUCCCCUGUACUGGGGCAUAUAAAGUUUGCAAGUCCAAUGGGCCUCUCUUUCCAGUGAUGGCCGACUAGGCCAUCUUUUGAUAUAUAUGCAGCUAGAGUCAAGAGCUCCGGGGUACUGGUUAGCUCAUAAUGUUGUUCCACCUAUAGGGUUGCAGAUCCCUUUAGCUCCUUGGCUACUUUCUCUAGCUCCUCCAUUGGGAGCCCUAUGAUCCAUCCAUUAGCUGACUGUGAGCAUCCACUUCUGUGUUUGCUGGGCCCCGGCAUAGUCUCACAAGAGACAGCUACAUCUGCGUCCUUUCAAUAAAAUCUUGCUAGUGUAUGCAAUGGUGUCAGCGUUUGGAUGCUGAUUAUGGGGUGGAUCCCUGGCUAUGGCAGUCUCUACAUGGUCCAUCCUUUCAUCUCAGCUCCAAACUCCGUCUCUGUAACUCCUUCCAUGGGUGUUUUGUUCCCAAAUCUAAGGAGGGGCAUAGUGUCCACACUUCAGUCUUCAUUCUCCUUGAGUUUCAUGUGUUGCAAACUUUAAUGUUUUUGAGGGUGUCUUUCUGUAAGAAAACAGAAAUACCCCACUACUUCUGUGAACUUGCUCAGAUUCUCAAGCUUGCCUGCUCAGACACAUAUGCCAAUGAUAUCCUGCUUUACUGUGUAACUGGUUUACUAGGUAUUAUUCCUCUGUCUGGGAUUCUUUUUUCAUAUUCUAAAAUUAUCAACUCUAUAGUGGGCAUUUCAUCUGCUAGGGGUAAGUAUAAAGCCUUUUCUACUUGUGGCUCUCAUCUUUCAGUGGUCUCAUUGUUCUAUGGCACAGGCCUUGGGGUCUACCUUACUUCUCAAAUGUCCUAUAAAUCCAGAGAGGGUUCAAUAGCCUCGGUGAUGUAUACUGUGGUUACUCCUAUGCUAAACCCUUUCAUCUACAGCCUGAGGAACAAGGACUUGAAUCAGGCUCUUAGAAGAUUUUUUCACAGCACAGGAGACAGGUUUCGGUAGAUAAUAGAAUCAAGAGGG